Suncus etruscus (white-toothed pygmy shrew) is the source of this 165-nucleotide small nuclear RNA. RefSeq annotates it as U1 spliceosomal RNA. NCBI's taxonomy places the organism in Eukaryota, Metazoa, Chordata, Mammalia, Eulipotyphla, Soricidae. The transcript has a single exon. The record is from RefSeq and is a predicted model, not a curated record.
AUACUUACCUGGCAGGAGCAAUGCCAUGAUCGUGAAAGUAGCUUUCCCAGAGUGAGGCUUACCCAUUUUAUUCUAGUUAUGCUAACCCCUGAGAUUUCCCCAAAUGCAAAGAACUCCACUACAUAAUUUGUAGUAUUGGGGGGACUGCAUUUUCACUUUCCCCUG